CUCGGCAAAUUAUCCUCAUAAGUUUGACAAUAAGAGGAGCCACUUAUGACUAAAGUUUAUUUUAUCUAAACUAACAUAUGGUGGUGUCACAAAAUCGGAGGCCACGGACUGUUUACUAAAAACACAAUUCAGAGCAAUGAUGAAAAUCAUAGUAUUCUGGAUGAAAUUUGCCCGAUGCCAUUAACAUAAAAGAGGUAAUGGGUAACUGUUACUAAUUGAAAGUCUGGUUAAUAGCGGUCUUAACUAUGAGGAUCCUAAGGUAGCAAAAUCAGUUGGCCAUUAAAUGUGGUCUGGUAUCAAUAGUGUAACGAUGGUCUCACUGUCUCUACAACUUGCUCAGUGAAAUUGAAUUAUCCGUGCAGAUGCGGAUUGCCUCCAGGUGGACGGGAAGACCCUAUGCAGCUUCUACUG
Molecule: ribosomal RNA, 411 nt
Filed under: thelephoroid mycorrhizal sp. kabrf
Lineage: Eukaryota; Fungi; Basidiomycota; Agaricomycetes; Thelephorales; Thelephoraceae
Description: LSU rRNA
Rfam family: Bacterial large subunit ribosomal RNA
Source: RNAcentral